RNAcentral lists this ribosomal RNA (178 nucleotides) under uncultured bacterium. RNAcentral describes it as "partial 16S ribosomal RNA". It matches the Rfam family "Bacterial small subunit ribosomal RNA", at positions 1322 to 1500 of the family's 1533-position model. The record is from RNAcentral.
GAAGCCGGAAUUGCUAGUAAUGGCAGGUCAGCAUACUGCCGUGAAUACGUUCCCGGGCCUUGUACACACCGCCCGUCACACCAUGAGAGUUGGGAAUACCCGAAGCCUGUGAGCUAACUAUAUGAGGCAGCAGUCGAAGGUAGAAUCAAUGAUUGGGGUGAAGUCGUAACAAGGUACC